UGGGGAAUAUUGCACAAUGGGCGCAAGCCUGAUGCAGCCAUGCCGCGUGUGUGAAGAAGGCCUUCGGGUUGUAAAGCACUUUCAGCGAGGAGGAAGGUGGUGAGCUUAAUACGCUCAUCAAUUGACGUUACUCGCAGAAGAAGCACCGGCUAACUCCGUGCCAGCAGCCGCGGUAAUACGGAGGGUGCAAGCGUUAAUCGGAAUUACUGGGCGUAAAGCGCACGCAGGCGGUUUGUUAAGUCAGAUGUGAAAAUCCCCGGGCUCAACCUGGGAACUGCAUUUGAAACUGGCAAGCUAGAGUCUCGUAGAGGGGGGUAGAAUUCCAGGUGUAGCGGUGAAAUGCGUAGAGAUCUGGAGGAAUACCGGUGGCGAAGGCGGCCCCCUGGACGAAGACUGACGCUCAGGUGCGAAAGCGUGGGGAGCAAACAGAUUAGAUACCCUGGUAGUCCACGCUGUAAACGAUGUCGAUUUUGGAGGUUGUGCCCUUGAGGCGUGGCUUCCGGAGCUAACGCGUUAAAUCGA
This 522-nucleotide ribosomal RNA is filed under the name uncultured bacterium. RNAcentral describes it as "partial 16S ribosomal RNA". It matches the Rfam family "Bacterial small subunit ribosomal RNA", at positions 355 to 868 of the family's 1533-position model. The record is from RNAcentral.